AACGAACGCUGGCGGCAUGCCUAACACAUGCAAGUCGAACGAGACCUUCGAGUCUAGUGGCGCACGGGUGCGUAACGCGUGGGAACCUGCCCUUAGGUUCGGAAUAACUCCCCGAAAGGGGUGCUAAUACCGGAUAAUGUCUUCGGACCAAAGAUUUAUCGCCUUUGGAUGGGCCCGCGUUGGAUUAGCUAGUUGGUAGGGUAAAAGCCUACCAAGGCGACGAUCCAUAGCUGGUCUGAGAGGAUGAUCAGCCACACUGGGACUGAGACACGGCCCAGACUCCUACGGGAGGCAGCAGUGGGGAAUAUUGGACAAUGGGCGAAAGCCUGAUCCAGCAAUGCCGCGUGAGUGAUGAGGGCCUUAGGGUUGUAAAGCUCUUUUACCCGGGAUGAUAAUGACAGUACCGGGAGAAUAAGCUCCGGCUAACUCCGUG
RNAcentral lists this ribosomal RNA (433 nucleotides) under uncultured bacterium. RNAcentral describes it as "partial 16S ribosomal RNA". It matches the Rfam family "Bacterial small subunit ribosomal RNA", at positions 29 to 507 of the family's 1533-position model. The record is from RNAcentral.